CUCGGGGAUAGCCUUUCGAAAGAAAGAUUAAUACCCGAUGUCAUAGUCCUACCGCAUGAUGGGAUUAUUAAAGAAUUUCGGUAUGGGAUGGGGAUGCGUUCCAUUAGUUAGUUGGCGGGGUAACGGCCCACCAAGACAACGAUGGAUAGGGGUUCUGAGAGGAAGGUCCCCCACAUUGGAACUGAGACACGGUCCAAACUCCUACGGGAGGCAGCAGUGAGGAAUAUUGGUCAAUGGACGAGAGUCUGAACCAGCCAAGUAGCGUGAAGGAUGACUGCCCUACGGGUUGUAAACUUCUUUUAUAUGGGAAUAAAAUGUUCCACGUGUGGGAUUUUGUAUGUACCAUAUGAAUAAGGAUCGGCUAACUCCGUGCCAGCAGCCGCGGUAAUACGGAGGAUCCGAACGUUAUCCGGAUUUAUUGGGUUUAAAGGGAGCGUAGGUGGAUUGUUAAGUCAGUUGUGAAAGUUUGCGGCUCAACCGUAAAAUUGCAGUUGAAACUGGCAGUCUUGAGUACAGUAGAGGUGGGCGGAAUUCGUGGUGUAGCGGUGAAAUGCUUAGAUAUCACGAAGAACUCCGAUUGCGAAGGCAGCUCACUGGACUGCAACUGACACUGAGGCUCGAAAGUGUGGGUAUCAAACAGGAUUAGAUACCCUGGUAGUCCACACAGUAAACGAUGAAUACUCGCUGUUUGCGAUAUACUGCAAGCGGCCAAG
Molecule: ribosomal RNA, 713 nt
Filed under: uncultured bacterium
Lineage: Bacteria
Description: bacterial SSU rRNA
Rfam family: Bacterial small subunit ribosomal RNA
Source: RNAcentral